GGCCAUGUAUUGUAUACUGAUAAUUGGUAUACGAGUCCUCAGCUGGCAAGGUAUUUACAUGAUAAUAAUACUGGUGCAGUGGGCACUGUCAGAUCAAAGAGAAAAUAUAUGCCAAACUUUGGAGUAACAAAAAAAGGUGAUGUAAUCAGAUUCAAGACACAUGAUAUGAUAGUAAUGAAAUGGCACGAUAAAAGAGCAGUGCAUCUUCUUUCUACUAUCCACACUGGCCAGAUGAAAGAUACCCAGCGGGUUCACAGGAGAACAAAUGAGCCUAUCUUCAAACCUGAUAUUGUCGCUGAUUAUAACAUCAACAUGAGACUCGUUGAUAAAGCUGAUAUGCAGCUAGGUACAGUGGACAGCCUAAGAAUAAGUGUCAAGUGGUAUAGGAAAGUAUUUUUCCACAUGAUAGAUAUUUGCAUGUUGAAUGCAUGCAACAUUUACAUGACCAAAACAGGCAACAAGUCAUCUCUAAGAGUAUUCAGUAUGAAAGUCAUAAAACAAAUGCUGGAAAGAUUUCCAACACAAGUGCCUACACAUUCACGUCCAGAUAGACAGAGCCGUGCAGCUCAGGAAGGACUGGCAAGCUGUAGGACUGGAAACUCAUUUCCCUGUACAUGUUCCUCCAGCACCAGGAAGGCCACAUAAGAAGGGACAGAGGGAAUGUAUAGUUUGCAAAACAACGCAGAGGAGAGAACAGAAACGCAAGCUAGUGACAACAAUGUGUGAAGGGCGUGGUGUAGGGUUGUGCCUAGGCGAAUGUUUCAAGAAAUAUCACACCCUCAAGACAUACUAAUAAGUGGGAAAGAGAACUGUUUAGAUAUAGUGAUACAUGUAUAAGGAGCAACAUAUGGCAAGAUGACCUAGUACGGAGCUCUACAUUCUACCAAUAGCAAGAUAAAUAUAACUUUACGUUAUACUAACAAAAUAAGUAUUACUUGUAAGAUUCACUGAAUACUGAUUUUACACAAAAUAUGACUGGGUAAAUGUUUGGAUGUAAGGUUGGGCAGCUGUGUGCCUACAUUAUCUUCUUUCCUUGUCACAGGGGCAGCAAGGGAGAGGGAGGCCUGUCUCCUUCAAGCAAACAGUACGUGGUGUAUCGGCAAGAUGAUCUAGUACAGAGUCCUACAUAGGAAUUCUACAGAGCUACCAGUUGCAAGGGAGCGCAGGGAGUGGGGAGAGAGGACUCUAUCCUUCAGGCAGAUGUUGGUGUAUCUUUUAUUGCCAUCAAACAGAUCAUCUUCCAUUAUUUCACAAGAGUUUGCAGAUGCAGCUUUCUUGCACCCACUUGAUGGCUCCUCGGAUUCCUCCCUUCACUCCCUCCGACCUUUACUACCCUGUGGGCCAGCACGUGUCAUCGCACUAGUGUUGCCAGAGUUUGUUUUGUUCUGCUCCAGUUCAUUCCCGUAUACAAGUUUUUAUUCUCUUUCUUUUCAGUUGUAAUAGAGCUUACUGUUAGACUAGGAUUACGGAAAUAAAGUAAUAAUUUAGACAACUCUUACCAUUUACUCCUCCGGGGUACCAGGGACCUCACAAAUAUAUUCCUCCUCGGACUCCUCGAAAGAGGUUAGGAACUGUUCCUCCAUAUAAUUUACAAAGCUAGAAACAGAAGAAGGAGAAGAAGAAAUAACGGAAGGGGGAGAUACUACAAGAGAAGAAGGUGGAGACAGAUCG
Molecule: long non-coding RNA, 1671 nt
Filed under: Portunus trituberculatus (swimming crab)
Lineage: Eukaryota; Metazoa; Arthropoda; Malacostraca; Decapoda; Portunidae
Description: uncharacterized LOC123502461
Source: RNAcentral